AGAGUUUGAUCAUGGCUCAGGAUGAACGCUGGCGGCGUGCUUAACACAUGCAAGUCGAACGAACCUUCGGGUUAGUGGCGGACGGGUGAGUAACGCGUGGGAAUCUGCCCUCAGGAGGGGGAUAACGACUGGAAACGGUCGCUAAUACCCCAUAUGCCGAGAGGUGAAAGGAAUUUCGCCUGAGGAUGAGCCCGCGUCUGAUUAGCUAGUUGGUGAGGUAAGAGCUCACCAAGGCGACGAUCAGUAGCUGGUCUGAGAGGAUGAUCAGCCACACUGGGACUGAGACACGGCCCAGACUCCUACGGGAGGCAGCAGUGGGGAAUUUUCCGCAAUGGGCGAAAGCCUGACGGAGCAACGCCGCGUGAGGGAUGAAGGCCUCUGGGCUGUAAACCUCUUUUCUCAAGGAAGAAGAUCUGACGGUACUUGAGGAAUAAGCCACGGCUAAUUCCGUGCCAGCAGCCGCGGUAAUACGGGAGUGGCAAGCGUUAUCCGGAAUCAUUGGGCGUAAAGCGUCCGCAGGUGGCUUUGUAAGUCUGCUGUUAAAGCGUGGAGCUUAACUCCAUUUCAGCGGUGGAAACUACAAAGCUUGAGUGUGGUAGGGGCAGAGGGAAUUCCCGGUGUAGCGGUGAAAUGCGUAGAUAUCGGGAAGAACACCAGUGGCGAAGGCGCUCUGCUGGGCCAUAACUGACACUCAUGGACGAAAGCCAGGGGAGCGAAAGGGAUUAGAUACCCCUGUAGUCCUGGCCGUAAACGAUGAACACUAGGCGUCGGGGGAAUCGACCCCCUCGGUGUCGUAGCCAACGCGUUAAGUGUUCCGCCUGGGGAGUACGCACGCAAGUGUGAAACUCAAAGGAAUUGACGGGGGCCCGCACAAGCGGUGGAGUAUGUGGUUUAAUUCGAUGCAACGCGAAGAACCUUACCAGGGUUUGACAUCCUGCGAACCCCUGAGAAAUCGGGGGGUGCCUUCGGGAACGCAGUGACAGGUGGUGCAUGGCUGUCGUCAGCUCGUGUCGUGAGAUGUUGGGUUAAGUCCCGCAACGAGCGCAACCCACGUCUUUAGUUGCCAGCAUUCAGUUGGGCACUCUAGAGAGACCGCCGGUGAUAAACCGGAGGAAGGUGUGGAUGACGUCAAGUCAUCAUGCCCCUUACAUCCUGGGCUACACACGUACUACAAUACUACGGACAAAGGGCAGCAAACUCGCGAGAGCAAGCAAAUCCCAUAAACCGUGGCUCAGUUCAGAUCGUAGGCUGCAACUCGCCUACGUGAAGGAGGAAUCGCUAGUAAUCGCAGGUCAGCAUACUGCGGUGAAUACGUUCCCGGGCCUUGUACACACCGCCCGUCACACCAUGGAAGUUAGCCACGCCCGAAGUCGUUACUCCAACCCUUGUGGAGGAGGAUGCCGAAGGUGGGGCUGAUGACUGGGGUGAAGUCGUAACAAGGUAACC
RNAcentral lists this ribosomal RNA (1446 nucleotides) under uncultured bacterium. Its description in RNAcentral is "bacterial SSU rRNA". It matches the Rfam family "Bacterial small subunit ribosomal RNA". The record is from RNAcentral.